UAGGGAAUCUUCGGCAAUGGACGAAAGUCUGACCGAGCAACGCCGCGUGAGUGAAGAAGGUUUUCGGAUCGUAAAACUCUGUUGUUAGAGAAGAACAAGGACGUUAGUAACUGAACGUCCCCUGACGGUAUCUAACCAGAAAGCCACGGCUAACUACGUGCCAGCAGCCGCGGUAAUACGUAGGUGGCAAGCGUUGUCCGGAUUUAUUGGGCGUAAAGCGAGCGCAGGCGGUUUCUUAAGUCUGAUGUGAAAGCCCCCGGCUCAACCGGGGAGGGUCAUUGGAAACUGGGAGACUUGAGUGCAGAAGAGGAGAGUGGAAUUCCAUGUGUAGCGGUGAAAUGCGUAGAUAGAUGGAGGAACACCAGUGGCGAAGGCGGCUCUCUGGUCUGUAACUGACGCUGAGGCGCGAAAGCGUGGGGAGCAAACAGG
This 429-nucleotide ribosomal RNA is filed under the name Gemmatimonadota bacterium. RNAcentral's name for it is "Gemmatimonadetes bacterium partial 16S ribosomal RNA". It matches the Rfam family "Bacterial small subunit ribosomal RNA", at positions 355 to 776 of the family's 1533-position model. Lineage: Bacteria; Pseudomonadati; Gemmatimonadota. The record is from RNAcentral.